AAGAUCAGUGAACUGGAACAAUCCUCCCAGUUCUUCCACCCACAUCCGUGUUACAGGAAGGACCAAACUUUGAACCCAACUAGAAUUUUGUAGGAAAGCGGCUAAUGUGUUCCAGGAAGCUGUGUUAAGGGAACACGUGAAGCAAACAGCAGCUUGUGAGCUCACAGUCCUCUGCACAAAACCCUUCCCUGAGGUUAAUGCUAGCUGCUGCUACCCAUCAACUGAAGAAUUUUCAGUGAACACGACGAAGGUUUAUUUCUGGCUCCUGUGACUGUUCCUUGCUGGUCAUUUCGAACAGGGGCAGCGUUGCCGGGACAGACACCCGUGUCUGCUGGCUGCAGGGAGCUUUGGCCACAGAGUGUAGGAGGCCUUUGGAAGGAAGGAACGAGGAGGACGAGACUGAAAAGCUGUCAUCUAAUCCUUCCAGAAAGCCCUGUAUGGUAUAUACCAUGCCUCCCGUCGGACUCUUAAUUCUCCUGGGUGGAGUGAACACAGACAUUGGUUGGGGUUCAAAUCCCAGGUCUGUCAUUUGCUGGCUGUGCCACUGUGGGCAAUUUACUCAAUCUCUCUGAACCUUGGCUCCCUCAUUUGAGAAACAAGAUGCUGACACCUCAUGUGGUGGUUGUGGGGAUGAAAUGACAUUUAGAACACUUGCGUCAAUCUGUGUUCUUCCUCUCAGCAGGGCCCCUUGACUGGUUCUUGAAUGGCUCUUGCUGCUUAAAGGAAUCCAGAGAAAUGGGGUUAGUGUGACUGCCAUCUGGAAAAAAAUAAAGCAGAAUUUCCUGCCUCUCUCCUCACCCCCAAAUAAAGCCAGGAUUUCUUUCAUUA
This is a long non-coding RNA of Leopardus geoffroyi (Geoffroy's cat), 828 nucleotides long. RefSeq lists it as uncharacterized. The transcript is spliced from 3 exons. Lineage: Eukaryota; Metazoa; Chordata; Mammalia; Carnivora; Felidae. The record is from RefSeq and is a predicted model, not a curated record.